This 3567-nucleotide long non-coding RNA is filed under the name Gossypium barbadense (sea-island cotton). Its description in RNAcentral is "long non-coding RNA (GBAR_LNC018571)". The record is from RNAcentral. Lineage: Eukaryota; Viridiplantae; Streptophyta; Magnoliopsida; Malvales; Malvaceae.
UUCUACAUCUCUCUCAAAACUUUGUCAAACACCAAAUUAAAGCUUUUCUCCAGAAAUUAGCUCAUCUUUUUUAUUUUUUUAUUUCUAAGCUGUCCAAACAUAGAAUCUCUUUUCAAUUUUAAAGAUUAAUCACGUUUUCAUCCUCAAAUCCUCAAGAGGUCUUCACACAUUUUAGCUCGAUUUAGCUCCAUAGCUCGUCGAUUAUGUGAAAUUGAGGUGAGAUUCUGACUAUUUAUGAUUAAACUAAGUUAGUUGUUAUUUCAAUUCUAGAUUUGAAUGAUUUAAUCAAGAUCUCAAUAGAUCACUUGAUUUUAAGUUGAUUUUUGGCUUGAAAAUGGUAAACCUCUUAUUACUUGGUUAAGCUACUAUUUUAAAGUGAUUUCUAACUCAUUUUGAUCUAAUUAAAAGGUUUAUAUCCUUGAUUUAACAAAUCCUUAAAGAAUUUGCAUGAAUCAAAUGAUUUUUCUUAUUGAAAUUAUUAACGAACAUGAUUUUUCUGGAAAAAUUAGAUUGAUGUAAUUGAAUAAAAUUAAUGGUUUAAGUAUGCAAUUAAAUGAUAUUUAGGAUGUAUGAAGUUGAAAUCUAAGCUUAGAAAUGAGAUUUGAGUGGUUGAACACCUAUUUUGGCAAAACUAGUUAAGUUCUUGGUAUAGAGAUUUAGAGGUUGUGAUAUGUGAUUUUGAAAUUUAAUAUGUUUGUUGCUGUGAGUGAUGCCUUUUCAAUGUAUUUGACAUGUUUGUGAAGUAUCAAGUCAUUUGGGAGUCUCUACAAGCAUGGACAAAGGCACAUAAAAGCUUAUUUGAGCAUUGUAGAUGAAGUAAGAGCUAAGGUGAGUGGUUUGGAAUAUUGCAUUUAAACUCUAGUAAGCAGGUUAAGGUAAUACAUGUGAACCCUUGUUUAAUUAAUAUGCGAACCUGCUAUGUGUUGGUAUGUGAACCUUGUGUUAUUAACAUGCGAACCUUGCUAAAAGACCAUGUGAACCCUUAUCACUAGACAUGUGCGAACCCCUAUCAUCAGUCAUGUACGAACCCCUAUCACAUGGUACACACAAACCCUGUUAGGAUGUUAUGCGAAACCUAUAUGCUAUGUGACUGUAUGUCAUGUGUGAACCUAUGUUGUGUGAUUGCACGUGAUGUGCGAACCUGUGUUAUUUGACUGUAUGUGAUGUACGAACCUAUGCUUAAGUGAUAUGCAAACCUACGCUAAAGUGAUAUGCGAGCCUAUACUAAUUUGAUAUGCGAAUUGUGAUUAUGUGUGCAAGCUAUGUUGCAUGCAAACUAUAUUACUUAAAAACCAUGCUUUAUAGCAAUUUGUAUGAAAUGUGAGUAAUGUGAACUACGAAUUGUGAUAUUGCAAACUAUGAAUUGUGAAUUAUGUUAUAUUGUGUGAGCUCUACUUAAUUGUGAGCCUAAUAUAUUGAAUAUCGUGAAUAUGUUGGCAUUGUGACUGCAUGGAAUCAUUGGAUAUAGUUAGCAUGCCAUAAGAUUGUGAGUAAUCACCCUUAUUAUUGCGAUGGGAAUUGUGGCCCAGAGAUACGUUGGAGAGAUAAGGGAAUGUAGAGCAUAGCUCCAUUCACCAGAGAGAACGCAUGGAUCUAUGAGUAGAGGGUAAAGAGAGUGUUAGCAUUCAUGCUACACUUAUAUCGCAGACAACGCAGGGCCCUUUGAGUCAAAAGUGAGGAAUUAUGAGGAGAUCCGUUUAUCCAAUAUGUGGUGAUAGAGUCUAUUUAUAGGUGGUAAUAGAGUCCCCUAUAUGUUUCAUAAUCACAAAAAUGUCGAUUUAUCUAUAUUUGAAAUAUAUGAGUAUGAUGUAUUAUGAAAUAUUAUUUUUACGUGGUAUGAACUGAUAUUUUACGAGAACUACUUAUCUUAUGUAAAUUGCUUAGUCUAUGUGCACUGCUUAUUUAUGAGAACUGUAGUGUCAUGUGAGUCACUAUUUUAUGUGUACUCUAAUAAUAUGUGAAUUGUUAUUGUAUGCCUACCCUAACCUGAUUGUUGUGUUUAUUUGUACUAUGAUUGAGCACUCAUUGAGCUUCAAUAAGCUCACCCACUCUUUUAUAAUAUUACAGUGAUUUAGCUUGUGAAGAGGUGGGGAAGUGAGCCAUCCAAGUGAUCCAUAACGAGGCUAUACCUAGGUAUGUUGAUGUGUUCCCAAACCAAAUGAGGAAGGAAAUGUGGGACAAAAUUAUGGCAUUUAGAAUUAGAUCUAUUCAUAAUUGUUGGGUUGUAAUUGGACAUUAUGGAGUCUUUAAAUGGUUUAUUUUGAAACUUUUAUUACCGUUUUAGAUAGAUGAUUAAAUAAUGGUUUGUGAAUGCUUGAUGAAUGGUAUAAAUAAAUGUUCGACUAACUUGUAAGUGCAGGUUGAAGAGUCGUUGAACAUUACGUAAGAAUUAGAUGUUAUAAGUGUGUUUUAGAAAACAAUUGGAUGUUUAGUAUGCAUGAAUGUAAAAUUAGACAAGUUACGUAAAUUGUUAGUUUCCUGCAAACUAGUUAAAUGGUGAUUUUUGUACACGAUGUUUUAAUGAAUCUUUCUAAACAAGACUUUUAUAUAUAAAUCUACAAUACUAAGAUGCGAACCUGGUGGCAUCAUGUUAUGAUACAACUCGAAGUCAUCGAGAGUGGCCUAAGCUCGAGGGGCCUAAGUGCAAAAUGAAGCUUAAUUACAAGCUCAUUCAACUUACUAAGCAUGCAUGGCAAUUUAUUGCAAGCUGAACUUUAAUUUAAUUAAACUCAUCUUAGUUAAUAAUUGAGUUGCUAGACUUUAUUUUUUUAUUAAACUCAUUUUAGUUAAUUAAUUGUUGGAAUAAAUGCUUAUAUUAGUUUAUUUAAUUGCUUGAAUAACUUAUUGUUCAAUAUUUUUAUUUAUAGUUUAUUAAAUUAAGUGUUUACAGUUUAUUAAUUAAGCUUAUUAAGUUUAGUGUGUUUAAAUUUGUUUUAAUCUGUUUGUUAAUAAAUGCUUGUAGGUGACUAUUUAGUUGGAAUCAAUUAUGUUCAAGGGAUGUUACAAAGUAAUAAAUGCGACUAUUAAGCUGGAAUUGGUUACAUACAAGGGGUUGUUACAACAACAAAAGGAGAGCAAUAUGCAUCAUUAAAAUUCGGCAGCCUCUCUAUCUUCUCCAAGGAGCUGUUCAAGAAUAGCAAUGGACAAAGGAGUGAUUACAAAUUCCAUAACCGAUUGCCUCUUUAAGAACACUUCAUGGUCUGUUUGUGUGCCCAAAAAUACCAUGAAUGUUGUUGGUGUCUAUUCGGCUGUCCAAGGGAGAAUUUAAAGCUUAUCCUAAACUCUUUGGCUACUUAAGAAUGAAACCUAAGCAUUCAAGCUUAUUAAAUUAGCUGAAUUAGAACAUUAAAUCUUAUUGAUAGUUGCUUUUACUUAGGCCUAGAAUUUCAAGAGUUUGAGCUUAGUGAUUAAGUUUUAUUUUAACUCAUUAUUAGCUCAUUUAAGCUAAACAAUUGUGACUUUUUGGCUAGGCCUUAUCUAGCACUAUAAAUACUUGUAAUAAGCUCAUUGUAAGGGACUUUCUUCUCAUUUUUGAAUGUUUAUAACAUUUUUGAGUUUUUCAACUCU